ACGGAAGGCGGCAGUGGGGAAUAUUGCACAAUGGGCGCAAGCCUGAUGUAGCAACGCCGCGUGAGGGAAGACGGUUUUCGGAUUGUAAACCUCUGUUCUUAGUGACGAAGAAGUGACGGUAGCCAAGGAGCAAGCCACGGCUAACUACGUGCCAGCAGCCGCGGUAAUACGUAGGUGGCAAGCGUUAUCCGGAAUUACUGGGUGUAAAGGGAGCGCAGGCGGGAUAGCAGGUCAGCGGUGAAAUGUAUGGGCUUAACCCAUGAACUGCCGUUGAAACUGUUAUUCUUGAGUGGAGUAGAGGCAGGCGGAAUUCCGAGUGUAGCGGUGAAAUGCGUAGAUAUUCGGAGGAACACCAGUGGCGAAGGCGGCCUGCUGGGCUCUAACUGACGCUGAGGCUCGAAAGUGUGGGGAGCAAACAGGAUUAGAUACCCUGGUA
This 436-nucleotide ribosomal RNA is filed under the name uncultured bacterium. RNAcentral's name for it is "partial 16S ribosomal RNA". It matches the Rfam family "Bacterial small subunit ribosomal RNA", at positions 341 to 792 of the family's 1533-position model. The record is from RNAcentral.